CCUACGGGAGGCAGCAGUGAGGAAUAUUGGUCAAUGGGCGUAAGCCUGAACCAGCCAAGUCGCGUGAGGGAUGAAGGAUCUAUGGUUCGUAAACCUCUUUUAUAAGGGAAUAAAAUGAGGGACGUGUCCUGUUUUGUAUGUACCAUAUGAAUAAGGAUCGGCUAACUCCGUGCCAGCAGCCGCGGUAAUACGGAGGAUACGAGCGUUAUCCGGAUUUAUUGGGUUUAAAGGGUGCGUAGGCGGCUUGUUAAGUCAGAGGUGAAAGUCUGCGGCUCAACCCUAGAAUUGCCGUUGAAACUGGGCGGCUUGAGUACAGUAGAGGAAGGCGGAAUGCGUGGUGUAGCGGUGAAAUGCAUAGAUAUCAGGAAGAACACCGAUUGCGAAGGCAGCUUGCUGGAC
Molecule: ribosomal RNA, 399 nt
Filed under: uncultured bacterium
Lineage: Bacteria
Description: partial 16S ribosomal RNA
Rfam family: Bacterial small subunit ribosomal RNA
Source: RNAcentral